GUUUAAUAUUAUGAUUGCACUUAUAAAAUGCACUUUACAAUCAUGUUUAGAUAAGUUGUGUGUUAAAAUGCAGACAAGCGGGUCCUGGAGAGAACCCAAUGAGUUAGAAUAACCCAGUUCAUGUCCGCAUGGAGGUUCACAUGGAGAAAAGGUGGAGAAUUUCGGAGUGCACAAUGCAAAACAUCUGGUGGUUUACCAAAUGUGCCAGCACAUCCUUUUAUUCAUUUAAUGAUCCUUCCGCAGGUUCACCUACGGAAA
Molecule: unclassified non-coding RNA, 258 nt
Filed under: uncultured fungus
Lineage: Eukaryota; Fungi
Description: sequence contains ITS1
Source: RNAcentral